AACAGGGAAACGACUUGAGAUGACGGCUAG
Molecule: non-coding RNA, 30 nt
Filed under: Cricetulus griseus (Chinese hamster)
Lineage: Eukaryota; Metazoa; Chordata; Mammalia; Rodentia; Cricetidae
Source: RNAcentral